AGACAUCUGCGCGAUACGACAGGCAGCUAUAUCCCCGGGGCCGAUAACUAGAUUCUCCAGGGAGCUGUCACUGACCGGGAUCGUGGUCCCGGAUACACGGCGCCCACCUGCUUAUGCAGGCCACGGAGGAAUACACGCCAACGGUCGAUGUGGGGUCUU
RNAcentral lists this non-coding RNA (159 nucleotides) under Alphaproteobacteria bacterium. Its description in RNAcentral is "6S RNA". It matches the Rfam family "6S / SsrS RNA". From Rfam's summary of the family: E. coli 6S RNA was the first non coding RNA to be sequenced, but its function was unknown until recently. The record is from RNAcentral. Lineage: Bacteria; Pseudomonadati; Pseudomonadota; Alphaproteobacteria.